GAUGAACGCUGGCGGCGUGCCUAAUACAUGCAAGUCGAGCGAACGGACGCGAAGCUUGCUUCUCUGAUGUUAGCGGCGGACGGGUGAGUAACACGUGGAUAACCUACCUAUAUGACUUGGAUAACUUCGGGAAACCGGAGCUAAUACCGGAUAAUAUUUUGAACCGCAUGGUUCAAAAGUGAAAGACGGCCUUGCUGUCACUUAUAGAUGGAUCCGCGCUGCAUUAGCUAGUUGGUAAGGUAACGGCUUACCAAGGCAACGCUGCAUAGCCGACCUGAGAGGGUGAUCGGCCACACUGGAACUGAGACACGGUCCAGACUCCUACGGGAGGCAGCAGUAGGGAAUCUUCCGCAAUGGGCGAAAGCCUGACGGAGCAACGCCGCGUGAGUGAUGAAGGUCUUCGGAUCGUAAAACUCUGUUAUUAGGGAAGAACAUAUGUGUAAGUAACUGUGCACAUCUUGACGGUACCUAAUCAGAAAGCCACGGCUAACUACGU
This 496-nucleotide ribosomal RNA is filed under the name uncultured bacterium. RNAcentral's name for it is "partial 16S ribosomal RNA". It matches the Rfam family "Bacterial small subunit ribosomal RNA", at positions 28 to 506 of the family's 1533-position model. The record is from RNAcentral.